This 528-nucleotide ribosomal RNA is filed under the name Pristimantis cf. ockendeni ABGD cluster 271. Its description in RNAcentral is "partial large subunit ribosomal RNA". It matches the Rfam family "Bacterial large subunit ribosomal RNA", at positions 1836 to 2573 of the family's 2925-position model. Lineage: Eukaryota; Metazoa; Chordata; Amphibia; Anura; Strabomantidae. The record is from RNAcentral.
CCCCCCCCCAUAAGAGGUCCAGCCUGCCCAGUGACUUUGUUCAACGGCCGCGGUAUUCUAACCGUGCAAAGGUAGCGUAAUCACUUGUUUUCUAAAUAGAGACCUGUAUGAAAGGCACCACGAGAGCUAAACUGUCUCCUUUUUCCAAUCAGUGAACCUAAUACCCCUGUGAAAAAGCAGGAAUUAAAAUAUAAGACGAGAAGACCCUGUGGAGCUUAAAACAUUCUUCACUUGCCAUUUCACCACUUCACCCCGGUUCAUCACUAAACGACAACUCUGACCCAAUGUUUUUGGUUGGGGCGACCACGGAGAAAAACUUAUCCUCCAUAAUGAAAGGAUUUCCUAAGCUAUAAAAUACAACUUUAAGCAUCAAAAAAUUGACAUCCAUUGACCCAAUAAAUUGAUCAAUGAACUAAGUUACCCCAGGGAUAACAGCACAAUCCGCUUUAAGAGCCCCUAUCGACAAGCGGGCUUAUGACCUCGAUGUUGGAUCGGGGUAUCCCAGUGGUGCAACCGCUACUAAAGGUU